This is a non-coding RNA of Odocoileus virginianus texanus, 4976 nucleotides long. NCBI's taxonomy places the organism in Eukaryota, Metazoa, Chordata, Mammalia, Artiodactyla, Cervidae. The record is from RefSeq and is a predicted model, not a curated record.
CCUCUGAGCGACCAAUAAACUGACUGUCUCCAUACCGCUUUUAAAGUCGGCGGGCCCUUUCACCAAUAAUAAGGCAGACACCACCCUCAGGUCGGGGAUUGAUGGAGAGUUUCACCAAUCACCUCACAGAUCUCCGCUAUCAACGCCUCUCUCUCACGGGAUUGACGAUCCACCCGGCCAAUUGGGGACGCCCAGUCGGCGGGUGGCUGAAAGCGGCCUUCUGUAAUGGCGGAGCGUGGCGGGGACGGGGGAGACGGAUGGCUCAACAGCAGGCCUUGAGGUUCCGAGGCCCAGCUCCCCCGCCAAAUGCAGUGAUGCGAGGCCCACCACCUCUGAUGCGACCUCCUCCACCUUUUGGUAUGAUGCGAGGCCCUCCUCCUCCACCUCGGCCCCCAUUUGGACGUCCCCCUUUUGAUCCUAAUAUGCCACCAAUGCCUCCUCCAGGAGGGAUUCCUCCACCUAUGGGCCCUCCACACCUUCAGAGACCACCUUUCAUGCCUCCACCCAUGGGAACCAUGCCUCCUCCUCCUGGUAUGAUGUUUCCACCAGGAAUGCCUCCUGUGACUGCUCCUGGUACUCCAGCACUGCCUCCUACUGAGGAGAUAUGGGUUGAAAAUAAAACUCCAGAUGGGAAGGUUUAUUAUUAUAAUGCUCGUACACGUGAAUCUGCAUGGACCAAGCCAGAUGGAGUUAAGGUUAUUCAGCAGUCAGAACUGACACCUAUGCUUGCAGCCCAGGCGCAGGUUCAGGCCCAGGCCCAGGCCCAGGCACAAGCUCAGGCCCAGGCCCAGGCCCAGGCUCAGGCCCAGGUGCAGGCGCAAGUGCAAGUGCAAGCACAAGCGGUCGGUGCUUCCACCCCUACGACCAGUAGCUCAGCACCUGCAGUGUCUACUUCAACAUCAUCAUCAACGCCAUCCUCUACCACUUCUACCACAACAACUGCCUCUUCAGUUUCGCAGACAGUAUCGAAGUUUCCAGUUUUUCUAAUUGAGGAGGCAAGAAAAAUGCAUGUGAAACAAUUAGAAAAUAGUGUGCAGAGUUAUACAGCGAAACUAGAAGAUAUAAGAAUUCAAGAAAACGGAGAGACAACACCCACAACACAAGAUCAGACCCCAAGUUCUGCUGUUUCAGUUGCCACGCCUACAGUUAGUGUUUCAACUCCUGCUCCUACAGCCACACCUGUGCAAACCGUUCCUCAGCCGCACCCCCAGACGUUACCUCCUGCUGUUCCUCAUUCAGUACCUCAGCCAGCAGCAGCAAUACCUGCUUUUCCACCAGUAAUGGUACCUCCGUUUCGUGUUCCCCUUCCUGGCAUGCCAAUUCCACUUCCAGGUGUAGCAAUGAUGCAAAUAGUCAGCUGCCCGUAUGUAAAGACAGUCGCUACCACCAAGACCGGUGUAUUGCCAGGAAUGGCCCCUCCUAUCGUACCUAUGAUACAUCCCCAGGUUGCUAUUGCAGCUUCACCUGCUACCUUAGCUGGAGCAACAGCAGUUUCUGAAUGGACUGAAUAUAAAACAGCAGAUGGGAAGACAUAUUAUUAUAAUAAUAGAACAUUAGAAUCAACCUGGGAAAAACCACAAGAGCUAAAGGAAAAAGAAAAACUAGAGGAGAAGAUUAAAGAGCCAAUUAAAGAACCUUCUGAAGAGCCUCUGCCAAUGGAGACGGAGGAGGAAGAUCCUAAAGAAGAGCCGAUAAAGGAGAUAAAGGAGGAGCCCAAAGAAGAAGAGAUGACUGAGGAAGAAAAAGCUGCCCAGAAGGCAAAGCCAGUAGCUACUACCCCUAUUCCUGGUACUCCGUGGUGUGUUGUUUGGACUGGUGAUGAGAGGGUCUUCUUUUAUAAUCCUACCACCCGUCUUUCUAUGUGGGACCGGCCCGAUGAUCUGAUUGGAAGGGCAGAUGUUGACAAAAUUAUUCAGGAACCCCCGCAUAAAAAAGGGAUGGAAGAGGUGAAGAAACUGAGGCACCCAACCCCGACAAUGCUGUCCAUCCAAAAGUGGCAGUUCUCUAUGAGUGCAAUUAAAGAAGAACAAGAAUUAAUGGAAGAAAUGAAUGAAGAUGAACCUGUUAAAGCCAAAAAACGGAAGAGAAUGUCAAAGAAGUCCUUUAUGUGGAUUGCCCGAGCUUCUCUAUUUAGGAGAGACGAUAAUAAAGACAUUGAUUCAGAGAAAGAAGCUGCCAUGGAAGCUGAAAUUAAAGCUGCCCGAGAAAGGGCCAUUGUCCCUCUGGAGGCCCGAAUGAAGCAGUUCAAGGACAUGCUGCUAGAGAGAGGGGUGUCUGCUUUUUCAACAUGGGAGAAGGAGUUGCACAAGAUAGUUUUUGAUCCUCGGUACUUAUUGCUCAAUCCUAAAGAGAGAAAACAGGUAUUUGAUCAGUAUGUAAAGACCAGGGCAGAGGAAGAACGGAGGGAAAAGAAAAACAAAAUAAUGCAAGCCAAGGAAGAUUUCAAAAAAAUGAUGGAGGAAGCAAAAUUUAAUCCGAGAGCUACAUUUAGUGAAUUUGCAGCCAAGCAUGCUAAAGAUUCAAGAUUUAAAGCAAUUGAAAAGAUGAAAGAUCGAGAAGCCUUGUUUAAUGAAUUUGUGGCAGCUGCAAGGAAGAAAGAGAAAGAAGAUUCGAAGACGAGAGGUGAAAAGAUUAAAUCGGAUUUCUUUGAACUACUAUCUAAUCAUCACUUGGACAGUCAGUCUCGAUGGAGCAAAGUAAAAGACAAAGUAGAAAGUGAUCCACGUUACAAAGCAGUGGAUAGUUCAUCCAUGAGAGAAGACCUUUUCAAACAGUACAUUGAAAAAAUAGCCAAGAACUUAGACUCAGAAAAAGAAAAAGAGCUUGAAAGGCAAGCCCGCAUUGAGGCAAGCCUUCGAGAACGAGAAAGAGAGGUUCAGAAGGCUCGUUCAGAACAAACAAAAGAAAUAGAUCGAGAGAGAGAACAGCACAAACGAGAAGAAGCUAUCCAGAAUUUCAAGGCUCUUCUGUCUGAUAUGGUACGUUCUUCAGAUGUGUCCUGGUCUGAUACUCGGAGAACUCUACGGAAAGAUCACCGCUGGGAAUCUGGAUCCUUGUUGGAAAGAGAGGAGAAAGAGAAGCUUUUUAAUGAACACAUUGAAGCACUUACCAAAAAGAAGAGGGAGCACUUUAGGCAACUUUUGGAUGAAACUUCUGCAAUUACCUUAACAUCCACAUGGAAAGAAGUAAAAAAAAUCAUUAAGGAGGAUCCUCGGUGCAUUAAAUUCUCCUCCAGUGACAGGAAAAAACAAAGAGAGUUUGAAGAAUACAUCAGAGACAAAUACAUCACAGCCAAAGCUGACUUCAGGACGCUUUUGAAAGAGACCAAAUUUAUAACAUAUAGUUAAUUUAGUGAAAGAUGUGAAAGUGAAAAAGCUUGUGAAAGAUGCUGGGAUUGGCAGCCCCGCAGACUGAAGUCCUCUGUUCAUCCACAGAACAGAUCCAAAAAGCUAAUCCAGGAAUCUGACCAGCACCUGAAAGACGUAGAAAAAAUUUUGCAGAACGACAAACGGUAUCUAGUACUAGACUGUGUGCCAGAGGAGAGGCGUAAACUGAUUGUGGCGUAUGUGGAUGACCUGGAUCGCCGGGGUCCACCCCCACCUCCCACAGCGUCAGAGCCCACAAGACGAUCAACAAAAUAACUUGGAAUACUCUUCCACAGGGUGUCUGUUCAUUCAAAACGCUUGCAUGAGCCAGUUUUCAGGUUUUUACAUGUAUGUGCAUUAGUCAGACUAUUGCAGACCAUCUGAUGAGCAGAAGGAGAAGCAUCCGUGAGCAGUUUCUGAACAGAGAACACUUUGGAAAUAUUUAUGCUUUUCUUUGUAUGGCAUGACUGACUUACAUACUCAAACAUAGGCUGUCUCUAGUAAAUCUAAAAUCUUGAAGCUAAAAAAUCAUCCUUUUAUGAGAUGUGGAAGUCAGUGACUUUUGGUGAUGUUCUUUCUAGUAGUGUUAUAAUACAUGCAAGACGUAAGAGCAUUUGUGGUUUGAACUUGCAAGAUGCAAAUACCACAGAUUCCCAAAAAAAAAAACCUAAGUUAGGGUUUAUUUUGUUUUGAUUUUGUUUUUUAAAGCGGGUAAAAGAAAAAAACACUGAAAAUUGAAUUCUUAUCUUCCAGAGGCUAAGAUUAUUAUAAUGGACAUACUUUGACCUUUGUCUCUAAAGAAUACUUUAGUUUCAUUUGUUCACUUAUGUGCUUUGAUUAUCCCCUUUGAAUUAUAGGCCAAGUCUUGUUGUUUAGCCUAAGAGAAGAUUUAUUUAGUAAUUUCUUCUCAGGUAUGGAGUCACAGUCAUAACUAACAUGUUGGCCAGACUAGGACUGCUGGUUAAACACAUUUUAUUCACCGUUAAGUGAUCUUUAUCAAUAUUCUGGAUUAGACAACAAAUUACCUUCCUUGGAUGUUCCUUGUAAACUAUACUCCUAUUUGAAUGUUAAUUUUUUGUUUCUAAAGUUUAAUUUUAAGAUGUUUGAAUGUUCAGUUUAUGUAUUUGAACUACAAUAAACCAACCCUUUUUAUAUAUGUGGAUUGUAUAUGAUUAUUGUUAUAUAAUGUAUAAAUACUUCUUUUAAACCUGUUCUUAAAAGCAGCAGCAAAUGUAAUUUGGCGCAAAGAAGGUUUGAAUCUUGAGUAUCACGUCAUUUUAAAAAGCUUGAAUAUAAUAAAUUACUCUUACCAUAAAAGGGAAGAAAUUUGUAAAGAACCAUUUUGGUGCUCAGUCUCUUAGCAAUAUCUUAUUGCUUCAUAGCAAGAAGAUGCUGAUUUUUGUUUGUCUGUUUUCUUGUUCUUAUCUUUUAUAUUAACGUAGAUGAAUGCCUUUUUGGAUUUCUUUCAGUUUGUUGAGUGCAUCAUACCAUGAAACUUAACUUUGAUUCCCAGUUACUCUGUCUAGCUUUACCUCUCCAGUUUAGAAAGAUCUCUAUUUCAUUCCUUCGUAGAUUUCUAGUUUGAAUCACCACCAUAAAUAAAAUGUUGAA